RNAcentral lists this long non-coding RNA (308 nucleotides) under Sus scrofa (pig). Its description in RNAcentral is "lncRNA (ENSSSCG00070014855.1)". The record is from RNAcentral. Lineage: Eukaryota; Metazoa; Chordata; Mammalia; Artiodactyla; Suidae.
GUCAGGAGAGAAAGGACAGCUGACAGAUUGAAAAGGGACGGAUGGACUCUGUAACGUGAUGAGGCAGCCUCGAGACCAAGGCUAUUCUGGGCUGCACUCACUAGAGCUGUGAAGUAGAGGCAGGGCCUGCUCCCUGCUUCAUGUUUCCAGAGGCUAAAAGGAUUCUUAUCAUGAAGGUGAGGACCUCAGACUAUAUGGCCAACUCCAUUUGACAUUUAAUUCAUGCAAUAAUCUCUCCUUGCUCUGAACCUAUACUCAGUGUAUUAGGGCUGCCAUAAUAAAGCAGCACAAACUGAGUGGUCUAAACA